RNAcentral lists this long non-coding RNA (721 nucleotides) under Homo sapiens (human). RNAcentral's name for it is "non-protein coding lnc-GOLGA8K-1:3". Lineage: Eukaryota; Metazoa; Chordata; Mammalia; Primates; Hominidae. The record is from RNAcentral.
UUUCCCAGGCGGUAGCGGGGGCAGUGGUGCUGUUGCCCUUUUAAACUGCGGCUUGACGGGAGCCGCGCCUCCUGUCGGUGGAGUCGGUUAUAAAGGGAGCAGCCCCGCAGGCCGCCACAUAGCUCCCGCCAAGUCCUCGGUGCCCCUUGCCAUUUUCCAGCCGCGCUCCCACGAGGGUCACGGCGGCGGGGAGAGGUGGAGCCGCGAGAGCUCGGCCGGGGGCCCCGCCUGGUGGUCGCGGCCAUGACAGCGGCUCGGGACAGGCUCCUUUUCCGCGCCCCUCCCGCCGGAGGUGAGGGGAAGAUGUCCAUGUCCGGGUUCAAGGCCAAACCGAAGUUACUGGCCUCUAUCUUCCAGGAGAACCAGGAGCCACAGCCGCGGCUCACGCCCCACCGCAACAUUAAGAUUACAAGUGGACACCUGAGUCAGCAGGACCUGGAAUCCCAGAUGAGAGAGCUUAUCUACACGACUCAGAUCUUGUUGUCACCCCCAUUAUUGACAAUCCAAAGGUGCAGAAAGCACUCUGACAAAUAAUGAAACAACCACCAUCGGUUAAAUUUGAUGCAAAAAUAUUGCAUCUACCAGCAUUUUCAGUUCCAAUUGCUAAUCCAGCAUUUGUGGAUAGCUGCAAACUGCGAUAUAUGGGCCAAGGUUGCUCGGGUGAUUGGUUUACUGGCUUCGCACAAAACUGAUCUCCAGGAAAAUACACCUGUUGUUGAGG